UGUCAGGGUCCUGGGACUGGGCGACCCAGGAUCCCUGAGCAGUCAUGUAUUAUAUUAUUAUUAUUAUUAUUGCUGUGUAUUUUGGUGUUGCUCCCCCUUCCCUGUGCUUGUGUAUAUGUGUGUGUGGGUGGCUGAGCACUUGUUUAUAGGCGGCGUCAGGCCUGGAGGGUGUGGCCCUGCAAGGGGACUGGCCACACCCGAAGCCACACACCUGCUGCUGAUCAGGCCUCGUCGGGGGAGCUACUUAAGAGAGUCUUGGAGCUCCCACCGGCGCGGGAUCAUUGCUUGGGACUCCACGUUAGUUACCCAGUUUAGGUUUUGGUCGUGUAAAGCCUGCUGCCGCUGUGUGUGACACUGAUUUUGCUGCUGCACUCUGUUUUAUAGGAAUAAACCCUGUUUCCAGCCAGUCCGUGUCUGUUGUCACAACGCAGUCGACCAUUUCACAUCUGCUACAUAAAAGUGGUGCCGUGACCCGGAUGCAUCUGAUUAGCCGCUGCCGAUCGCUGAGGUUGAGCUGAACACUUCCGACACCUUGGGACAUUAAUCAGUGUAACGCCACCUGCGGCCACAUUGCGGGUGUGGGGUUUCCUAGCCAGAGCUGUACGGACUCCACACUGGGUGAGGAGAAGCCUGCUGCCGCUGUGUGUGACACUGAUUUUGCUGCUGCACUCUGUUUUAUAGGAAUAAACC
Long non-coding RNA from Astatotilapia calliptera (eastern happy), 690 nucleotides. The record is from Ensembl. NCBI's taxonomy places the organism in Eukaryota, Metazoa, Chordata, Actinopteri, Cichliformes, Cichlidae.